AUUCCAGCUCCAAUAGCGUAUAUUAAUGUUGUUGCAGUUAAAAAGCUCGUAGUUGGAUUUCUGGUCGGAACGCCGGUCCGGCUCCGCAAGGGGUCGUGUAUUGGUUUCUCCUGCCAUCCUCAGGGGGAGCUGCGCUGGUAUUCAUUUAUCGGCGUGGUUACGCCUGUCGUUUACUGUGAACAAAUUAGAGUGUUCAAAGCAAGGUGUACUUGAAUACAUUAGCAUGGAAUAAUAAGAUAGGACUUUGGUGGUUCUUUUUGAUAUUUUGUUGGUUUGCACGCCAAAGUAAUGAUUAAUAGGAGCAGUUGGGGGUAUUCGUAUUCAAUUGUCAGAGGUGAAAUUCUUGGAUUUAUAGAAGACGAACUACUGCGAAAGCAUUUACCAAGGAUGUUUUCAUCG
This 399-nucleotide ribosomal RNA is filed under the name Pedinellales sp. Its description in RNAcentral is "partial small subunit ribosomal RNA". It matches the Rfam family "Eukaryotic small subunit ribosomal RNA", at positions 582 to 975 of the family's 1831-position model. The record is from RNAcentral. Lineage: Eukaryota; Dictyochophyceae; Pedinellales.